UACAGGGGUCUCAAGCGUUGUUCGGAUUCAUUGGGCGUAAAGGGUGCGUAGGUGGCGCGCUAAGUCAGGUGUGAAAUUUCGGAGCUUAACUCCGAAACUGCAUUUGAUACUGGCGUGCUUGAGGACUGGAGAGGAGACUGGAAUUCAUGGUGUAGCAGUGAAAUGCGUAGAUAUCGUAAGGAAGACCAGUGGCGAAGGCGAGUCUCUGGACAGUUACUGACACUGAGGCACGAAGGCCAGGGGAGCAAACGGG
This 253-nucleotide ribosomal RNA is filed under the name uncultured bacterium. Its description in RNAcentral is "partial 16S ribosomal RNA". It matches the Rfam family "Bacterial small subunit ribosomal RNA", at positions 524 to 776 of the family's 1533-position model. The record is from RNAcentral.